GAUGAACGCUGGCGGCGUGCCUAAUACAUGCAAGUCGAGCGAACAGAUGAGGAGCUUGCUCCUCUGACGUUAGCGGCGGACGGGUGAGUAACACGUGGAUAACCUACCUAUAAGACUGGGAUAAUUUCGGGAAACCGGAGCUAAUACCGGAUAAUAUAUUGAACCGCAUGGUUCAAUAGUGAAAGACGGUUUUGCUGUCACUUAUAGAUGGAUCCGCGCCGCAUUAGCUAGUUGGUAAGGUAACGGCUUACCAAGGCAACGAUGCGUAGCCGACCUGAGAGGGUGGUCGGCCACACUGGAACUGAGACACGGUCCACACCCCUGCGGGAGGCAGCAGUAGGGAAUCUUCCGCCAUGGGCGAAAGCCUGACGGAGCAACGCCGCGUGAGUGAUGAAGGUCUUCGGAUCGUAAAACUCUGUUAUUAGGGAAGAACAAAUGUGUAAGUAACUAUGCACGUCUUGACGGUACCUAAUCAGAAAGCCACGGCUAACUACGUG
Molecule: ribosomal RNA, 497 nt
Filed under: uncultured bacterium
Lineage: Bacteria
Description: partial 16S ribosomal RNA
Rfam family: Bacterial small subunit ribosomal RNA
Source: RNAcentral